CCAGCCGGCCGGGCGGCCGCGCCCGCUGAUGCCGAAAGGCUGCGGGUGAGGAAAGUCCGGGCUCCAUGGAAACACGGUGCCGGCUAACGGCCGGCGGGGGCAACCCCAGGGAAAGUGCCACAGAAAGCAGACCGCCACGCUUGCGUGGUAAGGGUGAAAGGGUGGGGUAAGAGCCCACCGCGCGACCGGCAACGGGAGCGGCACGGCAAACCCCACCGGGAGCAAGACCGAAUAGGGGCGGCGCGAGGGGCAACUCUCGGGGCUGUUUCCGGCCCAGCCGCCCGGGUAGGUUGCGUGAGGCGUGCAGCAAUGCGCGUCCAAGAUGAAUGGCCGCCACGUCGCUGCCCAUUGGGCAGGGGCCAUACAGAACCCGGCUUACAGGCCGGCUGGCGCU
This 394-nucleotide RNase P RNA is filed under the name Pseudomonadota bacterium. RNAcentral's name for it is "Proteobacteria bacterium RNase P RNA component class A". It matches the Rfam family "Bacterial RNase P class A". From Rfam's summary of the family: Ribonuclease P (RNase P) is a ubiquitous endoribonuclease, found in archaea, bacteria and eukarya as well as chloroplasts and mitochondria. Its best characterised activity is the generation of mature 5'-ends of tRNAs by cleaving the 5'-leader elements of precursor-tRNAs. Cellular RNase Ps are ribonucleoproteins. Lineage: Bacteria; Pseudomonadati; Pseudomonadota. The record is from RNAcentral.